CCCCCUGUGGCUCAGUUGGUAGAGCAUGGUGUUUGCAACGCGUGUUUGCAAUGCCAGCAUGGUGUGUGCAACGCCAGGGUUGUGGGUUUGAUUCCCAUGGGGGGC
This 105-nucleotide transfer RNA is filed under the name Salmo salar (Atlantic salmon). It matches the Rfam family "tRNA". From Rfam's summary of the family: Transfer RNA (tRNA) molecules are approximately 80 nucleotides in length. Their secondary structure includes four short double-helical elements and three loops (D, anti-codon, and T loops). The record is from Rfam by way of RNAcentral. Lineage: Eukaryota; Metazoa; Chordata; Actinopteri; Salmoniformes; Salmonidae.